This is a long non-coding RNA of Thalassophryne amazonica, 373 nucleotides long. RefSeq lists it as uncharacterized. The transcript is spliced from 2 exons. The record is from RefSeq and is a predicted model, not a curated record. Lineage: Eukaryota; Metazoa; Chordata; Actinopteri; Batrachoidiformes; Batrachoididae.
UGUGGACCCUGCUGAGACGAUUAUCCGAAGAAUGGCCAGCUAAACCAGAAGUGUGGGCUUGAACCAAUUACAAGCAGUGCCUGGAAGUAACGGGCCUACCAGUAAAGUCACUCGAAGAACUCAAGAGUGCUAAUGACAGACUUGAUGGCGAGGACAAGGGAACCAGGCACGAGAGGAAUGCCCUAAUCAGUACCUUAACUGCAUACACCCCUGGAAUGGAACAAGGGAAGGAUACAGUAACAAUCAUUGUGAGGGGCUGCUUGAACGCUACGGCUCCUGUUUAUCUUUGGCAGUCAGGACAAGUCAGGAACCGUCAAAGGCAGCCUUGCCAGGGAUGUGCCACAAAUUUACAGAGUUGUCAUGGCGGCUGCAA